AAGGUGAAAUAACUUUAUUGAAACAUAUGUCAUUACAGUUAAAAGAAAUAAAGAUAUGUGUUUAAAUCACAUGGUUUUAACCAUCACGACAGAUAUCAGAGGGAGGGGUGGGUAACACUACAAAGCAGGAUCAAUGAGUUUAGCCGGCUAACUUUCAGAAACAAACCAAUAAUUAAACCACAGAUAUGUUUAUAGGUUUAAUAAUUAGAAAUCUGAAAACCUUCGAUGUUGUGAAGGGCUGUCGAGUCAAUCAGUCCAUCUUUCUAAAAAUGAAGAGAUGUAUCAGAAUAUAAUAGGCCAGUUUGCUCUGUGGUAGUAUAUUACCCUCCCUGCAGGUCCUCACUACAAAGUCUUCAUACAACAGUCAUAUUCAAUAUCCUGUUUGUGUUUACUAGUAUACGUAGGAUAGUACUGACAAACAUAUAUUCAGACACUCAGUACAAACGCAAAGGAAUUUAUAUGUGUUCUAGACACAAGCAGAGCAUCAGAACAGACUGCUGUUACCGUGUUGUCCUGACAGACUGCUGUUACCGUGUUGUCCUGACAGACUGCUGUUACCGUGUUGUCCUGACAGACUGCUGUUACCGUGUUGUCCUUUACAGACUGCUGUUACCGUGUUGUCCUGACAGACUGCUGUUACCGUGUUGUCCUUUACAGACUGCUGUCCUAGUGGAAUGUGUGGUGUGAGUGGCAUCAGUGUUGCUCUGCUCUCUGGUCCUCUCAUGUCUCCCUGAUGGCAUUUUUUCCUCUGUCUCUCUCCAGUCUCUCUCCAGUCUCUCUCCAGUCUCUCUCCAGUCUCUCUCCAGUCUCUCUCCAGUCUUUCUCCAGUCUCUCUCCAGUCUUUCUCCAGUCUCUCUCCAGUCUUUCUCCAGUCUCUCUCCAGUCUUUCUCCAGUCUCUCUCCAGCUGCUGUCUCUCUCCAGUCUCUCUCCAGUCUCUCUCCAGUCUCUCUCCAGUCUCUCUCCAGUCUCUCUCCUGUCUCUCUCCAGUCUCUCUCCAGUCUCUCUCCUGUCUCUCUCCAGUCUCUCUCCAGUCUCUCUCCAGUCUCUCUCCAGUCUUUCUCCAGUCUCUCUCCAGCUGCUGUCUCUCUCCAGUCUCUCUCCAGUCUCUCUCCAGUCUCUCUCCAGUCUCUCUCCAGUCUCUCUCCAGCUGCUGUCUCUCUCCAGUCUCUCUCCAGUCUCUCUCCAGUCUCUCUCCAGUCUCUCUCCAGUCUUUCUCCAGUCUCUCUCCAGUCUCUCUCCAGUCUCUCUCCAGUCUUUCUCCAGCUGCUGUCUCUCUCCAGUCUCUCUCCAGUCUCUCUCCAGUCUCUCUCCAGUCUCUCUCCAGUCUCUCUCCAGCUGCUGUCUCUCUCCAGUCUCUCUCCAGUCUCUCUCCAGUCUCUCUCCAGUCUCUCUCCAGUCUCUCUCCAGUCUCUCUCCACUGCUGUCUCUCUCCAGUCUCUCUCCAGUCUCUCUCCAGUCUCUCUCCACUCUCUCCAGUCUCUCUCCAGUCUCUCUCCACUCUCUCCAGUCUCUCUCCAGUCUCUCUCCAGUCUCUCUCCACUCUCUCCAGUCUCUCUCCAGUCUCUCUCCAGUCUCUCUG
Molecule: long non-coding RNA, 1580 nt
Filed under: Salmo salar (Atlantic salmon)
Lineage: Eukaryota; Metazoa; Chordata; Actinopteri; Salmoniformes; Salmonidae
Description: lncRNA (ENSSSAG00000102530.1)
Source: RNAcentral